Molecule: long non-coding RNA, 6201 nt
Filed under: Sus scrofa (pig)
Lineage: Eukaryota; Metazoa; Chordata; Mammalia; Artiodactyla; Suidae
Description: lncRNA (ENSSSCG00000060039.1)
Source: RNAcentral
CAAAAAGACAAAAAAAAAAAAAAGGAGUACUAAGAUUGAAGUUGGCAUAAAAUAGCAUUCAAUAACAAGUCCUGAUCUUUCAGUGUUUACCUUCUAAGGAAGAGAGAAAAAAAUGGAAAGGUUUGUUUAAUUUUCUUACUACAAAGAAAACAAGAAAGGAAAGGGGAAAGACCUUGAGGAUUAGAGAUCACAUUCAGAAAAAGAAGAGAUAUAUAAUCCUGCAACAGCUUCAGCACCCAGUGUUAUUCAUCUCCUGGCAAUAGAGUUUGCUCUCUUUAAAUUAUUUUUUCCCCUAAAUUCUUAAAGAUCUAAACUUAUAAGAUGAAGACAGACUUCUGCCUAAUUUCUACUUAAAUAACCUGUGUUUGAAAAAUCAGCUCAUCAUCACUUAUCCAAAUAUACUAAGUUGCAGGCUCUAUAUUAGCAAAAGGCUAUUUAUAUUUAAAAUUGGCAAAUUAUUUUAAAAUCCAUGUAACUUCCACUUCCACUGCCUUCUGCAGUGAGGUCAUCCUUACAUUGUGUUUCCAGAAGCCUCAUCAUGAUACCUGGGAGAAAUUUGGGAGACUUAGGUGUUUUGUGAUUAUUUUAUAAUUGUCAUUAUGAGAUAAAACAUGUGCUAUGACAAAGUGACAUAUCACAAUUUAAAACAAGUUGUAGUGUGAUUAAAAAAAUGUUGUCUGGGUCUAGAAUUUUUAUACCUUUUCAAUGACUAGGACAAAAUUCCCCAUUUAAGCAAGGUAAUUGUAGGAAUACAGGAUGUUUAAAUUGUCUGGGGAUAGAAAUAUAACUGAACAAUGUUUGGUUUUGUAGCCGUGCAUGGAUGUUUGCAUGCAAACAUAAACUGACUCUUUAUGGUGUGAUAGUCUAGAAACAUAAAUGCAUAGUCUGCUUUACGAGUACUCUUUGCUUUACUGUGUAAAGAGGCUCUGCAUUUUGCGUUUGUCUGGUAGUAGACUGUACUGGAGGGCUUAUGAUUCUAAAAUGACUUGAGCACCCUCUGACACCCUGCUCCUUGUUAUGAAUUGCCCUUCAUGCUGGGAAUUUUAUACCAUAGGGGACAGAAGUGAGGAGUUAAUGCCCUCUUUCUCUGAGUGGAGGAACGCAGUUUGAAGCUGUGUAUUAUCAGUUGUUUUCAAUGCGGGGUUUGUUUCUUUUUUAAGCAGCAGAGCACAGCAGAAAGGGCACCCUUGCAGAGGGAAACUAGUCUCAUUUGCUUUUACCUAUGCGGCCUUCAGUGAGGGACCUCAGCUCUAACUCAGGGAUCAUAAUAUCACAACUUCGUGGGGUAAAUGAGAGCAAAUGGGAAGAAAAUGUACCUGAAAAAGAUUUGUGUAAAAUGUUCUGCAAAUGAAAGAGCUAUUACUAGCUUCACCAUCACCACCACCAUCAUCAUUAUUGCUAAUAGGAGCCAGAAGGGAUUCUACUUGUCUAAUUACCUAGCGGGGCUCAAAUCAUCUCCACAAAGUUCUGCUUAAGCAACAAGGAACACAUUAAAUCCCAAGGCGGUUCAUUCCCAACAUUUGUAUGUGCUAGGGGAUGUGAGCUAAGACGCGUUUAUCAGGAAACCACAAACAGGAAGAAAUGAUGUUGCAGCUGUAGCUCCGUGCUCCUUGAGAUGGCAACGUGGUUAGGAUUUGAAACAUCAUCAGAGGGGCUUCAGGCAGAUGUGGGGAGGGAAGAGGCCUGAUGAGCAGGCCUUUGAAGAGCAGAAGGUAGCAGGAGGUAGGGUCAGAACUUCUCCAGUCUGGGCCCAGCUGCUUGGACUAAGCCUCUGCUAGCCUGGCCUGGAGCAGGCCCUGGGCCACGGGAAGUCUUGGGAGCAGGGACUGUCCUUGCCUGUUCUCUUCUCACCUCUCCCUGACUUUCUGCCAGUUCUGUAAAAUCUAUUCUGUUACGCUCAUUGUCAGGGGUUGAGUGAGGGCUUCCUGGGCCCAGAGGGCGUCUGCAAUGACAUCUUUUCUGUUGCUGCCCAAUGCGCAGAGCGCGCUAGGACAGGAGGAAGGGCUUUUGUUUCCUAAUGAAGCAUAACAGGCUUAAAACACAAAGAGAGGGUGGUAACCGAUGUGGCUGAGCCCAGCCCCUGUCACCCAGAGGCACCAGGAUGUGGAAGGGGGCGGAGGGUGGCAGGAGACCCUUCCCCCUGUUUCUCGACUGUGCCUCAGAAGGCACAGGGCAAACUGUGCAGACACCACCUGCUGUGUCUCUGGAAACACAGGCAGCUCUGUGUCUGGUAAUUGAGGAAGCUGCUGUCUAAUGUGGCCGACUUCGCAUCAAGGAGUCCUGUCCUGGGGCAGAGUGGCUGGUGGGGGUGUUAGUGGAUAGUCUGCUGGAAUGCGAGCAGCAUCUCAUGUGAAGUAGGCGUAUGUGGUCCUGGCGGGGUCAUCACCGGAGCGCUGGGUCAUCUGGGGAUGGCCUGAUGAUCUCUCAUUCCAGCAGAGGCCACAGGUCUGGGUGGUGACUUCCCUUCUGUGCUCUAAAGGGUUGGAAGGAUGCUCCCCAGCUCUGGGCUCUGUUCAGGUUCAGUUGAACCGCCCCCAUCUGUGUCAGAUGCAGCCAGCUUUAUCAACACGUAGAUAAGCCCAGACAUGAUAAUGAGCAAUUUGUUGAAUGUAUAUUGAAUUUUGGUCAAUGGAACAGCCUGUUAAGGACUUUUACAUGUUACAUCAAAGCCGAGGCCGCCGUCUUUAGCGAGGAAAGUGUGAGGGCUUUGUUCUCUCCUAGGCUGUGUCUCUUGUUCUCAGAGGAAGGUAGUCGCUGUUCAGAGGAAGGACUGUUUAUCCCUGCCGUCCUUCAGGUGGCCUCCAGCUGGGGCGAUCAGCUCUCCCGACAGCAUUUUAGUCCAGGUGAAAUGUGUAUUUCAAACUAUCUGUGAUGGCUUCCGUGGAGGUCCGUAAGAAGCAGUCUGGAAAAAGCGUCUGGGACCCCUGGUGGAAUGCAUUUGAAGGAUUUUCUAAUUACUUACUAUUGUUACAAUGGACCACAUCAGCUCUUCACUUAGCCAUUGAUUUUUCUCUCUUUAAAUGAUGUAUGAAGCCCCGGAGGAUAUUAUGCUGAACUAAACUCAAGUCCAAGGUGAGAGGCUUGGAAAAAUUCUUGACUUGGUCAGGAGCUGGGACCCUGGAAAGGAAACAGAACCUGCUGCCGUGGUGCCUCGUCCCUUGGACCCAUCAUAAAUAAUCUCUGCUGGGCCCUCUGCCUGGUUGUUAAUAAAGUUUUAUCGGGGUAUAGCCACAGCCAUUGCAUUGCUGCUUUCACCCUGAAACAGCAGACGGGGGCAGAAACCAGACAGCCUGCGAAGCCUAAAAUGGUGGCUCUCUGGCCCUUGGCAGAGUUGUCUGGUCUGUGGUCUCUGUGGUUUAACAAAUCAGUGAGGAACUUGUGUCGAGGACCUGCUACAUGCCAGUGGGCCCCUGUUUGUGCAUGUCAUAAGCACAUGAUGGAUUGGAAAGGUGACAAAGGAUGGAGCCUGGUCACUAUUCUCCAGGGAUUAUAAUCUGGUGGAGGAGACAAGGAUUGGCAUGUGUGAAAAAACAGUGACAGUAAAAGAUAACCUAGGGUCAAGGGUUAAAUGGUGAUGGAUAGACAAGCACUGGGGUUUGGAGAAAGGAAGUGAGGGUCAUGAGAGCUCCAGCAGUGGGAGAGGGUGAUGUUUAACGUAAUAAAGUCCCAGAACACAGGCAGCCCCGGGACGCUCCCUUGGGACCCAUGGUAAUUGGAUCUGACCUGUAUUUCUACUCAUGUCAUUUAAGUCACUGAUAUUUUUGGCCUAGUGCUUGGGGGUACCUUAAUGACCAGAAGUACUUCUGAGUAACUUUAGCUGACUGAGUCUUCUGAAAUUUAGGAUUCUUUCAAUCUCCUUAAACUGCAGCGAAUAUAAUCUCGUCUCAGUAGCACGAGGCCCUUCUCUUUUGGAGACAGUACAGUGCAAUGAGCUUGGAGUCAGAGGCCAGGUCUGAAUCUCCUUGCCAUGGAAACUGGGGGCUCUGUGACACCCUGGGCCUCAGUUUCUCCAUCUACACAGUGGGGACAAUAACAGUGUCUGCCUCUUUGGGUGGCCGUGAGAACUGGGUGACACAGCCAUGCGAAGGGCUUAGACUCCACGAGGCAGGGCUCAGUGGACGUUCAACCUCUGACCACGGCUCCGGACGACAGCAGGGUCUGUAUCCAGGACAAGAGAGCCAUGCUCACUUCCAGAAAGAAGUAGUGCUUGAUCAUUUAUAAAGACAUUUGUGUGUACUACAAAAGACACAUGAGCAACGCGCAGAAUCACUGCUCCUUGUCGUUUAAUUUACUAAUGAUCCCGAUGCUUAAUUUUCCGCCUUCUUGCCACUGCCGGCCCCCUGGCUUAUUUCUGUGGUGUUCUGGGAAUCUUGGGAUGGGGAUUCAGGUCUCAUCUGCAGGGAUCACGGGCGUUCCCCUGGUCCCCACCACUCCCUCUGGAGGUCAGGCAGGUUAGCACCCAGACAGCCUUGUGCAUGAGAUCAAGUCCAAACCAGACCAGGUUCCCUUCUCUGGAAUAAGGAGAUAAUAACACCUAUUUCUGUGACUGUUGUGAGUGUGGCUGAAAGAGCUCUUUGAAACACUCUGUAUUUUGAGGUCAUCAUAAAACAUGAGGUUUGAAACCAGGGUCUGAGUGUCCAGAGCAGGCUCCCCAUCCUGGGACAAAGCCUGAUGACAGCCUUGCUGGUUUCCCUGGAGGUAACUUGGAGAUUAAGGGGCAGGGGUGUUUUCUGCAUUUCCUGUGGGUGACGAACGGCCUCUGCGGCGGGCGACCUUUACUGCUAUUAUGGAGACGCCAGAGCCGUGGACGCCAGAGCCGUGGCUGUGACUCGGGGGCCUGUUGACAGCGCAGCAGAGGGCUGCCUCUGAGGACCUUUAGCAUGAAUGUGUUAAGAACCGCAAAAACACUGAGGUCACUGGUUUUAUUUGCUCUUAAGAAAUUACAUGGGCUUUCUAAGAGAACAAGAAACUGUUUAAAAAGCACCCCUCUUACUGAACUCAAAGAAGCCACAUUUAGCCUAAGCCAGGAGACCCUGGAUAAUACAGAGGGCAGUUCAUGUCUCCUGGAAGCCUCCCCACCCCACCGCCCCACCGCCGCCACCUGUCGACACCUGCAAAGCAGGUAGCAAGUGUCUCUACAUUUGUUUGUCAUAAAACCUUCACACACGUGUUCCCUCAAUGAACGUUGGUUAAGCUCUAGAAUGGGACAGGGCAGGACUGUGGGCAACCAGGCAGGCCCUGCAGGGCCCACAGUCUAAGUGGGAAAUGGCCCCACAAACAAGUUAGGAUGAGACAGUGGGGUGCAUGCUGCAUGGCGGUUUGGAAUGCUGUGGGGUGCACAGCAGAGGCCCCAAAAAGGGUUCUGUCACUUUCCAUGAAUGGCCAGGUGUGACAAAAUGAAGGCACUACCCAGACAGUGGUAACUGGCCCUGAGGGUAGAGGCUGGGCCACGGGGUCCUUAGACCCUGAGACUUUUCCUGCGUGCUUUGAGCUUUCAGUGUUAGAGAGCAUCUCAGGACUGGUCUGAGUAGCCAUGGGCCACUCAGAAGUAGCCUUAUGCCACCUCAGUCCCCUCUGGCCAUGGCUCACACUGGACUGAAUGAGACCCUCUCAAGGCCAUCCCUUCCUCCCUGGGGACCCCCAGGUCUCGGCCAUGUCUCCCCCUUCGUGUCCUUGAACCACCGGGAGUGCGCCCUGCUCAGCUAUCUCUCGUUCUGCUCUUUGGGGUUCCCUUCUCCUAGGACAGGCUGGCUCCCCUCCAUCUCUCACUUGUCACUAGGAGGCAGAGUGAGAGUAGCUGUGACCAUCCCCAAGGGGUUCUGUCCCCUCCCCAGUGCUGUGAGGCCGUCCUUGGGCAGGGCUGGCUGUGUGCUCAUUGGGCCACGUUGAUUCCUCCUUAUUCUUUCUUUGAGCUUUUAUUUCCUUUACUGUGUCUCACAAAGGAAGCCAUACUGGUCACUCACUCCUGCCCCAGUGUCUUUUUAAUGGGGGUUGAAAACUCCACGAGGAGGUUGCCUGGGAGUUCAUGUAUGGAGUCCGAGGAACCUACUUUAUGCCUGUGCUUGUUGUUGGGGAUGGAGGGGGGCAGAGAUAAUUCCUAGGUAUUAAAGCUCUGUGUUUCAGCCACUUCCUUGUAUGGAGAGAACCAAAGCCUGAGGAGUCAGGCAGGGCACCCAGGGCAGAAGUCCCCAACCCUGGCUA